This 3005-nucleotide long non-coding RNA is filed under the name Limulus polyphemus (Atlantic horseshoe crab). RNAcentral describes it as "uncharacterized LOC111088298, transcript variant X2". The record is from RNAcentral. Lineage: Eukaryota; Metazoa; Arthropoda; Merostomata; Xiphosura; Limulidae.
UAUUCUUUGCAUUUUUAUUAUGUUCUUAAAGCGUUAUUGCUACAAAAUUAGUUCGAAGAUUUCAUUUGUUUGAUAGCAAUAACUCUGCUUAUGGUAAGAUUAUUUAAAAUGACCUGUUUAUGAGGUGUGCUAGUUGAUGCUUGUGUACCAGUAGGUUGCACAAGUGACAUAUUUAAAAAAGUAAGCGAUCUAAAUGAUAUACUACCAGUGAAAGUUGAUUUAUCAGGUCUAUCAGCAUCCACAGUGGUGUAAUAAACAGAUGAGUGAGUUUUAAAAUAUUAAAUGACAUAUUAACACAUUAGGGAUAAUCCUUCAGAGUAGUUAAGUGACAUACUAAUCUAUAAAGCUUAUAAAGUGACGUAAUAAAGUAUAAUAGGUGAUCUAUAGGGCUUAUAAAGUGGCGUACUAAUCAUAAUAUGUGAUCUAUAAGGCUUAUAAAGUGACGUACUAAUCAUAAUAGUUGAUCUAUAAGGCUUAUAAAGUGACGUACUAAUAAUAAUAGGUGAUCUAUAAGGCUUAUAAAGUGACGUACUAAUCAUAAUAGGUGAUCUAUAAAGCAUAUAGAGUGACGUACUAAUAAUAAUAGGUGAUCUAUAAGGCUUAUAAAGUGACGUACUAAUCAUAAUAGGUGAUCUAUAAAGCAUAUAGAGUGACGUACUAAUAAUAAUAGGUGAUCUAUAAGGCUUAUAAAGUGACGUAAUAAAUUAUAAUAGGUGAUCUAUAAGGCUUAUAAAGUGGCGUACUAAUAAUAAUAGGUGAUCUAUAAAGCAUAUAGAGUGACGUACUAAUAAUAAUAGGUGAUCUAUAAGGCUUAUAAAGUGACGUACUAAUCAUAAUAGGUGAUCUAUAAAGCAUAUAGAGUGACGUACUAAUAAUAAUAGGUGAUCUAUAGGGCUUAUAAAGUGACGUACUAAUCAUAAUAGGUGAUCUUUAGGGCUUAUAAAGUGACGUAAUAAAUUAUAAUAGGUGAUCUGUAAAGCAUAUAGAGUGACGUACUAAUCAUAAUAGGUGAUCUAUAUGGCUUAUAAAGUGACGUACUAAUAAUAAUAGGUGAUCUAUAAAGCAUAUAGAAUGACGUACUAAUAAUAAUAGGUGAUCUAUAAGGCUUAUAAAGUGACGUACUAAUCAUAAUAGGUGAUCUAUAAAGCAUAUAAAGUGACGUACUAAUCAUAAUAGGUGAUCUAUAAAGCAUAUAGAGUGACGUACUAAUAAUAAUAGGUGAUCUAUAAGGCUUAUAAAGUGACGUAAUAAAUUAUAAUAGGUGAUCUAUAAGGCUUAUAAAGUGGCGUACUAAUAAUAAUAGGUGAUCUAUAAAGCAUAUAGAGUGACGUACUAAUAAUAAUAGGUGAUCUAUAAGGCUUAUAAAGUGACGUGCUAAUCAUAAUAGGUGAUCUAUAGGGCUUAUAAAGUGGUGUACUAAUCAUAAUAGGUGAUCUAUAAAGCAUAUAGAGUGACGUACUAAUUAUAAUAAGUGAUCUAUAGGGCUUAUAAAGUGGCGUACUAAUUAUAAUAAGUGAUCUAUAGGGCUUAUAAAGUGGCGUACUAAUCAUAAUAGGUGAUUUAAAACGGCUUUAAUAGCUUUGAUAUGUAACUAUCAUUACAGUUGUGUGAUAUAACAGUAGUUUAUCUUGAUUCAUCGGGGGCAUAAACAUGUGUGUUUAUUUGUCAAACAAUAGAAGACAGGUAUCACACCAUUGUUAGCAAGAAUAGGUCGUAUUGUUUUAGUCGUAUAUUACACAAUAUUAAGUGUACUUGUCAGUAUACACUAUGUUGAGUGAUUAAGUUACAGUUAUAUUACACAAUGUGAAGUGUACUUGUCAGUAUACACUAUGUUGAGUGAUAAAGUUACAGUUAUAUUACACAAUGUGAAGUGUACUUGUCAGUAUACACUAUGUUGAGUGAUAAAGUUACAGUUAUAUUAUGAUUAAGUUACAGUUAUAUUAUGAUUAAGUUACAGUUAUAUUACACAAUGUGAAGUGUACUUGUCAGUAUACACUAUGUUGGAUGAUUAAGUUACAUUGAGGCAGGCACGAUAAUCCAAUUAUUAUGGAGAUUUAUUAAGCCUCUGCCUGAACAUAUUAUCUCUUACUUUGCCAUGCUGUUGAACCGUGAUUUUUGUCUGGAAAAGAACCACUGUUAAUGCUACAAACUAGUGAAAACUAACUAACGAAAACAGAGUUCUACAUUUAAUAAAAGUAGUGUUUUUAGAACCCACUAAAUCAUUCACUUGUAAUUUUUCACGUAAAUUCUGGUUCCAGGUAUUAACAUUGAUACUGAUAUCAUAACACUUAUUUUAACUUCACAUCUCAGUGCUAUAACAAAGUGGUUUUGGUAUCACAUCCGAAGAGUCUGAAAUGAAACGGUCUCAUGGAUCAGUUGCAAUAUACAGCAGCAUAAACUGAAAUCUGUGAAACUGAACAGAAAUAAAGGCUACAUGAAAGUGUCCUGGCGCUCUUUAGUGAGGCUGUAAUAGUUACUUUUCUUAAACAAAAGUCACGAGGAAUAUAUUAUAACUAAAAUUAACGAACUGAGUACUCAAAAAAAAAUGUUUUCACGUCUGAAUUUAGAUUACGAUUGAGACGGGUUUAUUGGAAAUUUUAAACCUGAAUGUUAGUUUUUUUUACAUUUAGAAUUGAUUUCAUAUAUGACGGGAGUGGGGGCACGUUUAAAUGAAGAGCCGGUUUAAGUAUAUGUUACGAGCAUGAGAAUGCACAGUUUGUACUUAUAUAUUCAUACAUAUAUAUAUAUAUGUUAGUUAAAUGUGAUGUUUCAAAUAUUUCUUUGCUUAUAUAUUUUUGAAAACAUAUAAAUGUAAAUAUUUCAAAAAUUACUUCUAAAGAACCUUUAUUACAUAUGUAUGAGUUUAGGCUUUCUGAAAUAUUGGUCAGGAAUGCAUGUUUACACUUUCUAUUAUGGCUUACUAUGAUGGUAAUAAUCCGUUCAGUUAUUCCUUUAAUCUUCAUCAACUGAUGAUAUUUAGUGCAGAGACCUCUGGUAUAUGUGUC